AACGAACGCUGGCGGCGUGCCUAACACAUGCAAGUCGAGCGCGAAAGUCCCUUCGGGGGCGAGUAGAGCGGCGGACGGGUGAGUAAUACAUGGAUAAUCUCCCCUCGAGCUUGGGAUAACCCUGCGAAAGCGGGGCUAAUACCGGAUAAGACCACGUGACCAAGGUCAUGCGGUAAAAGGUGGCUUUAUUUUCGGAUGAGGCUAUCACUUGAGGAUGAGUCCAUGGCCUAUCAGCUUGUUGGUGAGGUAACGGCUCACCAAGGCUAUGACGGGUAGCUGGUCUGAGAGGACGACCAGCCACACUGGGACUGAGACACGGCCCAGACUCCUACGGGA
This 336-nucleotide ribosomal RNA is filed under the name uncultured Pseudomonadota bacterium. Its description in RNAcentral is "bacterial SSU rRNA". It matches the Rfam family "Bacterial small subunit ribosomal RNA", at positions 29 to 346 of the family's 1533-position model. The record is from RNAcentral. Lineage: Bacteria; Pseudomonadati; Pseudomonadota.